This 378-nucleotide unclassified non-coding RNA is filed under the name plant metagenome. RNAcentral describes it as "partial contains 5.8S ribosomal RNA, internal transcribed spacer 2, and large subunit ribosomal RNA". The stretch from base 1 to 105 matches the Rfam family "5.8S ribosomal RNA", at positions 50 to 154 of the family's 154-position model. The record is from RNAcentral.
GAAAUGCGAUAAGUAAUGUGAAUUGCAGAAUUCAGUGAAUCAUCGAAUCUUUGAACGCACCUUGCGCUCCUUGGUAUUCCUUGGAGCAUGUCUGUUUGAGUAUCAUGAAAUCUUCAAAGUAAAUCUUUUGUUAACUCAAUUGGUUUCUACUUUGGUAUUGGAGGUCUUUGCAGCUUCACACCUGCUCCUCUUUGUUCAUUAGCUGGAUCUCAGUGUUAUGCUUGGUUCCACUCGGCGUGAUAAGUUAUCUAUCGCUGAGGACACUGUAAAAGGUGGCCAAGGUAAAUGCUGAUGAACCGCUUCUAAUAGUCCAUUGACUUGGACAAUACUUUUAUGAUCUGAUCUCAAAUCAGGUAGGACUACCCGCUGAACUUAAGC